Molecule: long non-coding RNA, 889 nt
Filed under: Androctonus crassicauda
Lineage: Eukaryota; Metazoa; Arthropoda; Arachnida; Scorpiones; Buthidae
Source: RNAcentral
CUUUUCCAUGCGUUCUCUUUAUCCUUCAUCGAAACAGCAUCAGUUUUUUAUUUUCAAUUAUCUUUUAGUAUUUGAUCACCAAAUUAACAUGAUAAAUUUUUCUCUUCUGUAGUCUAAUUCACUCCAUGUUUCCUUUUUGAUCCCAUAUUCAAAUGGAUUGCUAUGAAUGAAUGUAGGUGUAAUAACUAUCUUUCAUACUAUCUGGCUGAUAGCUAACUUAUGCUUCACUCAAUGCUCUGUAUUUAUUAUUUAGAUUUUCAAAUGGAUUAAAAUUAUUCUACUGAUAGCUACUCUGUAGAUUAGACCAAAACUCAUGUAACCAGCCCUUAAUCUUUCUACUCUUUCUUUAGUUCCCUCUCCCUUACUAUCCGCAUAUUCAGCAUACAUUUGCUUUUUCAACUGCUUUUCACUCACAUCAUAUCAGUAUAUCCAAAUUAACUUAUAUACAUUGAGGCAAUCAUGAAUUAUCUUCAAAUUAACUUAUAUAUACUAAGGCAAUCAUACUGUUUUUCAGUUUGCUUUCAUACUUCAUUAUUCAAAAGAUAAUCGUACUACACCAUUCCAACUGGUAUGGUUGGAAUGAUGAUAUGGUAUACUGCUCAAGUAUACCAUCUUCACUGCAAUCAAAUGAUUUUAAUAUUUUUCUUACCAGAUCCAGGGGGGGGGUCUAUGCUUCUUUUAGAGAAAACAGUCUCUCUAGACAAACAAUUUGACAUCAGUGAGCAAAUGCCAUUUCUGAUUGGUUGUUCUACUAGAGAGAGACUUUUUUUUUUCUAAGCUGAUGUUGCAGAAUUUUUAAAAUAGGCAAUUUAGUCGGAGACAACUUUUUAUCUUAAAAAUUGUCUCUUUACAGAGUGAUAGCUAUAUCUAUCUCUCAGAUGAAAUGAUC